GUCUGCAUUUGAAAGUGAUCAUCAGCUGCCUGUGCCUUCGUCAUCGAUAGUACAGGCAGGUGAACUGCGCAAAGCAUUUUCUGUAUUUGGAGGGUCCAUCUCUAUCCUUGGAAAUGCUAGUGCUUUUCUCACA
Molecule: small nucleolar RNA, 133 nt
Organism: Gorilla gorilla gorilla (western lowland gorilla)
Lineage: Eukaryota; Metazoa; Chordata; Mammalia; Primates; Hominidae
Gene: SNORA71
Rfam family: Small nucleolar RNA SNORA71
About the family: The members of this family belong to the H/ACA class of snoRNAs which bind a number of proteins (including dyskerin, Gar1p and Nop10p) to form snoRNP complexes.
Source: Ensembl